This 207-nucleotide ribosomal RNA is filed under the name uncultured bacterium. RNAcentral's name for it is "partial 16S ribosomal RNA". It matches the Rfam family "Bacterial small subunit ribosomal RNA", at positions 568 to 774 of the family's 1533-position model. The record is from RNAcentral.
CGCGUAGGCGGUAAGAUGGGUGUGAUGUGAAAGCCCCGGGCUUAACCUGGGAAGCGCAUCGCAAACUAUCUAACUGGAGUAUAAGAGAGGGUGGCGGAAUUUCCGGUCUAGCGGUGAAAUGCGUAGAGAUCGGAAGGAACGUCGAUGGCGAAGGCAGCCACCUGGCUUAAUACUGACGCUGAGGCGCGAAAGCGUGGGGAGCGAACA